RNAcentral lists this long non-coding RNA (557 nucleotides) under Rosa chinensis. RNAcentral's name for it is "sRNA RchiOBHm_Chr6g0295021". The stretch from base 481 to 557 matches the Rfam family "Plant small nucleolar RNA SNOR75", at positions 1 to 78 of the family's 87-position model. The record is from RNAcentral. Lineage: Eukaryota; Viridiplantae; Streptophyta; Magnoliopsida; Rosales; Rosaceae.
UUGUGAGCCGGAUAGGGUUGCUUACCGUCUCCAUUCUCUCUUCCCAGCCUCCUCUGCAGUCAAAACAUAUCUUUCCAGCUCGAGAGAUCGCUCUGUGUUUCCCACAUCUUCAAAGUGAACAAGCGUUUUCUCUGUCACCGCCUCUCUCUCUCUCUUCCUCAAGUAGCAAAGUAGAAAUUCUUGGUUGCUUUCUGGCUUCGAUUUCUUAGAGAAACUGAGUUUGCUGAUCUAGGUAAGGGUAAAGGCCCCUUGUUGUUAAAACCCAAGAUCCCUUUCCUCUGCGCCACCUUCCCUCUUCUCUGUGACGCCGAGCUCUUCCUCCGACUCUGCCGCCGCCGCCCUGGAAAUUGUCUUCAUUUAUAUAACUGUUGUGGGUUUUCAUUAUGAUGACUGGAGGAGCAUUCAAAUCUCCGAAAGUUUCAAUUUUUCCUUCUUGUUUGUGUUUGAUUUGUUUUGAAUUGUGAAGUGAGUAUUGGGUUUUCUCUGUGAUGAUGAAAACAGAUGACAAGUCCGAUCCAUUCAUUCAUUAAAUCAUGAGGACAAAAUGAGUCAUUUGU